AUUGAACGCUGGCGGCAGGCCUAACACAUGCCAGUCGAGCGGACGAAGGGAGCUUGCUCCUGGAUUCAGCGGCGGACGGGUGAGUAAUGCCUAGGAAUCUGCCUGGUAGUGGGGGAUAACGUCCGGAAACGGGCGCUAAUACCGCAUACGUCCUGAGGGAGAAAGGGGGGGAUCUUCGGACCUCACGCUAUCAGAUGAGCCUAGGUCGGAUUAGCUAGUUGGUGGGGUAAAGGCCUACCAAGGCGACGAUCCGUAACUGGUCUGAGAGGAUGAUCAGUCACACUGGAACUGAGACACGGUCCAGACUCCUACGGGAGGCAGCAGUGGGGAAUAUUGGACAAUGGGCGAAAGCCUGAUCCAGCCAUGCCGCGUGUGUGAAGAAGGUCUUCGGAUUGUAAAGCACUUUAAGUUGGGAGGAAGGGCAGUAAGUUAAUACCUUGCUGUUUUGACGUUACCAACAGAAUAAGCACCGGCUAACUACGUG
Molecule: ribosomal RNA, 484 nt
Filed under: uncultured bacterium
Lineage: Bacteria
Description: partial 16S ribosomal RNA
Rfam family: Bacterial small subunit ribosomal RNA
Source: RNAcentral